This 18-nucleotide ribosomal RNA is filed under the name Amicia glandulosa. Its description in RNAcentral is "partial large subunit ribosomal RNA". RNAcentral also lists the same sequence under 1 other name. The record is from RNAcentral. Lineage: Eukaryota; Viridiplantae; Streptophyta; Magnoliopsida; Fabales; Fabaceae.
GCGACUCAGGUCAGGCGG